This 1907-nucleotide long non-coding RNA is filed under the name Marmota monax (woodchuck). Lineage: Eukaryota; Metazoa; Chordata; Mammalia; Rodentia; Sciuridae. The record is from RNAcentral.
GCAGCUCUACUGUUUUUUUUUUUUUUUUGGUUUUGGUUCUAUCCUGUAUUUUCUACUUCCCAAUUCUGAUAUUAUAGCUUUUCUUCUUUCCAGUGUGUGAGCUUAUUUUGUUAUUUUUUAAAGAGAUUAUAGUAUAGAAAAUAGAUAUGUUGAGAAUAAUCUCAGGCUAGAGUGAAAAGGAUAUCUUUUUUCCUUGCUUAAUGAACAUAGACACUUUUUUUGGUAGAAUCUGAUCCUAGUUAAGGUAUGAAGACAGGGUUGUUAGCUUGUAGCAGUUUAAAAAUCAAUCUCUUCUGUCGACUUCAAAGGAUUAUAGAAGACAAGAGAGUCAAACUUUUCGAAGGAGAGACUGAAAACUGUUAACUAAGUUAAUAAGAUGUCUUAAAUGAUUGUGUGGGGAAAAGCAACCUUCCAUAUUAAAAGAAGCUUCAAAAGAGGGAAAGUAUUAUAAAGAGGCUUACCGAUGACAAUGUCUCUAAGAAAGCACUGAUUCUCAGUGAGUGUGACUCACAACAGAGGUGACAGUUUUGAACCAUGGGUGGCUUUGGGAGGUAAAAGAAAGAGCAGCGGCUGUAGCAAGAAUUUCUUCAGUCUAUCUUGGAAGAGUAACAGUCCUGCAAGGUGAAAUUUCUUCAGAGCUCAUUAUUAAGAUAAAAUGUGAUGCUUCAUCUCGAUCAGAGUAAGCAAGGAGUUUAAAACUCACCUGAAGGAACAGAAUCAGGAAAGCUCCUGCCUCUGUGAAGCAUGUCAGAGUAAUUUUGUAACCUAAAUUAAGGUAAGUGGUGACAAAACCUAUUUAAACAUUUCUGCCUUGCAUCUAUCUGUGCUAACUUGAUUCCAUCUAGCGCAAUACAAUUUAACUCAAUUUGAUUGGAGAGCAAUGCAACAAAUAUUCAAUGGUGAUCCAUGAGGCUUGCUUUCUUUAAAUCUUGAGUCUAACAUUAUUUCUUUUUGAAAGAAAUAUCUAACUAAUGUUUUAUUUGUGAAUUCAGUUGCUCUUUAAUAACAAGAAAAAAAUUGAAUGAGAUGUAUUAAUUCUUCAGAAACUUCAGAGGCUAUGGAGGAGAAAAGGCAUCCUGUUCUGUGAAGGUCAGAACUACCCUAGAUGGUGCCACUGCCACCUAGUGAUAAUACAGACCUGAAUUUAUAGACAUAGUUCUAUGGACUAUAAACAUGUACAGAGUAUUUAGUUAAUUCAGUAUAUUUCCAGUAACAGGGACCACAAAGAGGAAAAAUUUUCUUAACUCUAUAUACAACCUAUUGCCCUUAUAAUUGCAUAUACAAAAUUUACUUUAGGAAAUAAUCAUACAGUUCUAAACUUGUAAAUUUAUUUGAGAUUACAAAAGCACUGAUUGCAAAAUAGGUCAUUACAUCGAUGUUCUUAAGAUAUCAUUUUAAAAUAUAAAGUGGAUUUUAUGGAUUUUUCCUUUUGCUCAAAUGCAUAAUUGCAACACUUCAUGUCCUUGUAAUUAUUUAGAAUUUUUAUAAAUGAUUAUUGAAUGCUUUCAUGUAUCUUAGCUUUCUCUGUUUUACUGAUUGUUAUCUUUGUUUUUAACACGUCUGUAAAUGUAUAUUUGAAAUUUUCACAUUCAUCAUAUGCAGUUUUUAUGUUAUUUUCAAGGAGAUUUUACUUUAACUUUUGAUUGUGAUUAAUUAUGCACAUAAUUUUAUGUCUCAGAGAAAAAAAUUUAUGGUUGUAUUUUUUGAAUCUUGUCUAGGAACAUGGAUUACCCUAUUGAUUGCACCUUCAUAUUCCAGAGAAGCAGGAGAAAUAACUAAGGGAUGGCCAUUGUCUGAUGCAGAUUCAAACAUGAUGUUCAUGCAGAAAGAAAAAAGAAAAUAAUGGGCCUAGCUGGCUACACUAAGCAUUUCCUUGAAUUUUUGUGACAAACUUUAUGAGGUCGUGG